CUAACUGCUUUUCUAAGAGCAUGUGCGGUUCUUUCAAUUUCUGGAUCCAAUGGAAUUAGUGGUGAUCCUGAACUGCACACACACAAACAGAAAAUACCUCAGUAGUACUAUGAUAAACAAUAAAAUAAAACAAAACUUAAAAAUACUAUAAAAAAAUAAAAAAAAUUGCACAAACACCGCCUUGUUGAAAAAUCAAUAGUCCCCGGCAACUGCGCCAAAAACUUGAUGACUUCUCGGAUAGUGUAUCGAUAAUGUCGAAGUAAUAAAAA
RNAcentral lists this long non-coding RNA (269 nucleotides) under Lathyrus oleraceus (garden pea). Its description in RNAcentral is "Pisum sativum (pea) long non-coding RNA (PSAT_LNC028385)". The record is from RNAcentral. Lineage: Eukaryota; Viridiplantae; Streptophyta; Magnoliopsida; Fabales; Fabaceae.